GAGUCUGCCAAGUGGCCACUCUGUCUCGGAUCCUGGCAAGUAAGUCCUUGUCAGACUGAGAGCAGUGUGCCUGCUUGCUUUC
This is a microRNA precursor of Bos indicus x Bos taurus (hybrid cattle), 82 nucleotides long. NCBI's taxonomy places the organism in Eukaryota, Metazoa, Chordata, Mammalia, Artiodactyla, Bovidae. The record is from Ensembl.